GAUGAACGCUAGCGAUAGGCUUAACACAUGCAAGUCGAGGGGCAGCGAGGGUAGCAAUACCUGUCGGCGACCGGCGCACGGGUGAGUAACGCGUAUGUAACCUGCCCGCAACAGGGGGAUAACCCGGCGAAAGUCGGACUAAUACCGCAUAAAACAGGGGUCCCGCAUGGGAAUAUUUGUUAAAGAUUUAUCGGUUGCGGAUGGGCAUGCGUACCAUUAGGUAGUUGGUGAGGUAACGGCUUACCAAGCCUUCGAUGGUUAGGGGUUCUGAGAGGAAGGUCCCCCACACUGGUACUGAGACACGGACCAGACUCCUACGGGAGGCAGCAGUGAGGAAUAUUGGUCAAUGGGCGAGAGCCUGAACCAGCCAAGUCGCGUGAAGGAUGACUGCCCUAUGGGUUGUAAACUUCUUUUACAAGGGAAUAAAAUGAGAUACGUGUAUUUUAUUGCAUGUACCUUGGGAAUAAGCAUCGGCUAACUCCGUG
This 485-nucleotide ribosomal RNA is filed under the name uncultured bacterium. RNAcentral's name for it is "partial 16S ribosomal RNA". It matches the Rfam family "Bacterial small subunit ribosomal RNA", at positions 28 to 507 of the family's 1533-position model. The record is from RNAcentral.